Molecule: long non-coding RNA, 4005 nt
Organism: Oncorhynchus tshawytscha (Chinook salmon)
Lineage: Eukaryota; Metazoa; Chordata; Actinopteri; Salmoniformes; Salmonidae
Source: Ensembl
CGGCCCCCUCUCUCUCCUCUGAUGGAGGAGUGAAGCUCACUGACACACACUCACAGACGCAACACGCCACAGGCAGGCUACCAGACAGACUGGCAGACAGGUAGGCAGCAGUCAGGCAACAUGACCCAAACAGGGAACAGCCUCAGCUCUGUGACCUGUGACAACAGAUGCCAACCACAGAACUGAACACUGAAGUUUACUUUGAGAGCCUCAGGGGAGCUGGAGUAAGCAGAAAAUAAGACAAAUAACAAGACGGGAUGAGGAGUGCUUGACUGCUGUUGUUGAGGCUGAGGAGGAGGGAGUAUUUUACUAACUUUUUCUGCACUUUCUGAACCUGUGGAAUUCCAUUCAUGAGCCAGAAGACUAAAGCCAGCAUGGUAUUCAGCUGGCAGAAGUCCUUUGCCAUUCUGACCCCCUGGAGGAAAGGAAAGGGGGACAAUGUGCUGGAAAAUGAGGUUAUCCUGACCAAGAUGAAGCUCUUCAACAACUUCCAUGUGAAGCUCCUCAACAACGAUGUUGAUUCUUCAUCCACUAUCGCCAUGUCAGUUUCUGAGCAGGACAUCUCAGAGCCUGUCAAAGGCUUGGAGGGGAAUGCUGACUUGGAUAACAUGCCUGGACAGUCCCUGAUGGAGUCAAGCUCAGACUACCUGUCAAACAUUUUCUCAAACUCUCAGCUUUCCAGGCUGUACAAGUUUGAGUCAGAGGACUCUGGGGUGGAACUGCCCAGUGGAACCAACUCUCCCUCCACACCCACCGGCUCGGAGCAGAGCUUUGUGGUCCACAGCCGGGAACCCUCCUAUGACUCCUGUAACCUCAACACUCCUGUCCCUACCCCAGAACCACUCCUCACAUUUGACCAGUGCUCUGACACCAAACAAACAGAGGAUAUGAGAGACACACCAUGUAUGACUGCAGACAGUGCUGUGCAGGAGUGUGAUAUGGUGGAGUCGGGGGCUGAACUCAACACAGAAGUUGAGAGGGUAGACCUUCAUAUAACUGAGAAGGACAUAGACAUGGAGAGGGCCCAGCACACAGCCUUGAGGGACCCCACUGAGGACGGUAAAGGGGGUUCAGAGCAGCUGGGUGAAAACAAGGCUGUAACUGAGGGGGUCAACUCAGAGAACACAAAGCCCAGGAGACAGUGCUCUACAGGGGCCUGUGACGAUAUGACAGGGGUUGACUUUGAGCAGCGGCCUCUGAGGAAAGGCACGACAAGUGACAGCCUGGAGGAGUAUAUGGAGGAAUGCUGCAGACUGAGUGAGGUCCACCAAGCCAGCUCCAACCCUCUGGGCUCCGGACUGGGCUACCUGGAGCACAUCUGCCAGCUCAUCGAGAAGAUUGGUCAGCUCCAGGAGCACAACGUCAGGCUGCAGAAGCAGAUCUGUGGUCUGCAGAAGGAUGGAAAGAUGGCCAAGAACAAAGAGGACUUCUUCCUGCAGCACUGUAGCUGUGGAACGGCCGGCCUGGCCUUUCAGGAACAGAAAAGACACUCCAGGAGUGAGUUCCUGACCACAUCCAUGAGUGGCACCCUCUCUGACCUCUCCACCAUCCCUGAGGUCACACGUCACACAGGACUCACAGCCAUGAGAGAGAGUGACCAAGGUAAUAACCAGCCCCUGGUGCCCCUUUGUAGGAGGGGCCUGAAUCGGAGGAGCUACACAGAGGGAGAGACACGCUCCUCUCUCUUUGACAGUACAGAGGGUCUCUCUGCCCCACACAGACGGGUGAGUGAGAACUACACAUGGGGCAGAGUGAAGGAUCUGGUGAAGAAGACCAAGCUGAGAAACCAGACCAGACUGGGACAGACAUCCACCUCCCUGAAGAGAUCCUGUCCACAGCUCUACUGCCCUGACCUGGGACAAGUGGAACUGCCAGGAAGAAACAGAAACUCCAUGGUCGCCUUGGGCCAUUAGAACAAACUGGACUUCCAGUGGCCCCAAUAACAAAGAAGAUACGAAACAGAUGGCCCAAAGUGGGAAGAGACAGCCCUGAAGAGGAGGACAAAGUGAAGUUGAACAGAUUCUUGACUGGACUGGGAUAUGAUGAGUGUGAAAGGAAGGAUGAGAGAAAGAACACUUGUGAUGGAUGACAAAAUUUGAGUGAGGAGUGAAAAGAAAACAAAAAGAUGGAUGGUCAUAGACAUCUCUCUCUCUCUUGCGAUACAAUUCUAAAAUAAGGGAUUUUAUUGUUUCAAAUAAGGGAACAUUGGUAUGUAUGAGAAUAGAGAUGCAUUUACUCCACAACGUACAUGAAAACGAUAUAAAUUAUUUAAUCUUGUACUAUACUCGUUUUCUAUACAAUUCAUAUGGUAGCUUAAUGUCUUCUCUAAAUGUAUUUUAUACAUUCAGGCUGACAUUUCAAUACUGUGUGUUGAUGGAGCAAACAAUAACUCUUUGAUAUGGUCGUUUCAUCAAAGAAAUAGACAAUAUUCUGGGGUGGAAAUAAAGACUUGGAUUAUCAUUGACAGUGAUUAGAUAGAGUACAUUAGAAAAGGCUGCUUGUUGAAUCUUGCUUUCGUCUAUGGUAAAGUCUGCUCCCAAUUGAACAUGGCUGCUGCAUAAUAACAUUAUUUACAAAUGUCUCGUGAUCCAUUAUGUGAGAGAGAAGUCUACAGUAAGACAAGUCAUGCUCCCAUGAACAAAUGUGAAACAUACACAUAUCGUACACAUAUCGUACAUAUUUCAGAAUUGUACUUGCAGAAUCUAUACAACAUAUUUAGUGUGAUUUAUCUUCUUGUUUUGAGUGUAGGCCUAUAUAGGCUAGGUGUUUGCAAUAUGGACCAUACAUGGAUGACAGAUUGUGGUAUAUAUGUUGUGUGAUUGUGCUGUACAUAACACAUGUUCAUGUAGUGUGUGUACAGACAGUAUGAUUGUACAGGAAGGGAGUUAUGUCUGUAAAUUCCUAUGUCUAUAUGAUGUAAAGUUAUCAUUAUUGGAGAGAGAGGUUCAAGAUCCCUAAAGAUAAAAUACAUUUAAAAAAACUGCUGUCAGAUGUUACGAUGACAUUUCCCUAAGGUAUUUUAAUGUUCCUGUCAAACAUUUGUUAAAAAAACAGUCAAUAUAUAUAUAUUUUUGAUAUAAAUUGAUAUGACUACAAGAUGUGAUUUACUAGAGUCUGCUGUUGCUUGUUCAUCUUCAAGAUAUAUAUUGUUUUUGGUCGGGAUAUAUAUUGUUUUUGGUCUGGUUUGACUAGCUAACAGUGAUUUAGCUUUUCUACACCACUGUUACAUCACUAUGAGGUUAUUUGAUAACAGACAGGCGAAACAAGUGCCACAGGGCUUUGGAAAUCUCACUGGGCAACUAGAGAAGGUAAGUUUCACACAAAAACUUUGGAAAGGAUUAUUAAAUUGGCUUUAAAGCCUUGACACCUACCUGAAAAACAGCAGCAGCUAAUUUCAACUGCUCAAAACUGUCCAUUGUGUAAAUGACAGGAAUGGAGUUAAUCCAAUUUUACAAGACACUAAUCCCACAGAAAGAACGCAAACAAUAGUUAGUUAUCCAGUAUGUACUUCAGCAACGUGAACUAGAGUGUAGUACAACACUAAUGAGUUCUACAUAAUGUCAUCAUGUAGUCCUAUUAAAAUAAUAAUGUACUCAUUCUCUAACUGUAUCAUACUGAAUUCAUGUACCUCUAAAUACUCUAAUCAAGUAGAAUAUAAAUGUGUUGCAACUGAGAGGCAGUAAAGGCUGUCAAUAUGUAUGAUACAUUUGUCGGGCUGGUAACUAAAGACAAAAGAUAGUGAUAUCUGUAUAUUGUAUAUUGUACAAUUUACUGCAAUGGAUGAAAAAUCUCAAUAUGCAUAUUGCAUCAUUAUUCAAAGUUAUUUUUCAAAAUAAAGUUGACAUUUCCUAAGACAUGAAAUGUAUGCUGUGCUUCUGUGGUUUUAGUUCAUUUUAAAUCACUCACUGACCCCUCACAGGAUAUGAAGCAAAUCAUGUUUCUUAUAGAGAGGACGUAAAGAGCACUACCUCAGUAGAAACUAGCUGAUCUUGCAAAUAAGUGGAA